Molecule: ribosomal RNA, 430 nt
Filed under: Chrysotila carterae
Lineage: Eukaryota; Haptophyta; Isochrysidales; Isochrysidaceae
Description: partial Bacterial small subunit ribosomal RNA
Rfam family: Bacterial small subunit ribosomal RNA
Source: RNAcentral
CGAAAGCGUGGGGAGCAAACAGGAUUAGAUACCCUGGUAGUCCACGCCGUAAACGAUGAGAGCUAGUUGUCUGGCAGCAUGCUGUCAGGUGACGCAGCUAACGCAUUAAGCUCUCCGCCUGGGGAGUACGGCCGCAAGGUUAAAACUCAAAGAAAUUGACGGGGGCCCGCACAAGCGGCGGAGCAUGUGGAUUAAUUCGAUGCAACGCGAAGAACCUUACCUGGGCUUGACAUACACCAGAUCGCUGCAGAGAUGUAGUUUCCCUUUGUGGCUGGUGUACAGGUGGUGCAUGGUUGUCGUCAGCUCGUGUCGUGAGAUGUUGGGUUAAGUCCCGCAACGAGCGCAACCCUUGUCUUAUGUUGCCAGCAUUUGGUUGGGGACUCAUGAGAGACUGCCGGGGUCAACUCGGAGGAAGGUGGGGAUGACGUCA